AUUGAACUCUGGCGGCAGGCUUAACACAUGCAAGUCGAGCGGGGGAAGGUAGCUUGCUACCGGACCUAGCGUCGGACGGGUGAGUAAUGCUUAGGUAUCUGCCUACUAGUAGGGGACAAUAUCUCGAAAGGGUGGCUAAUACCGCAUAUGUCCUAUGGUAGAAAGCAGGAGAUCUUCGGACAUGGCUCUAAUCGCUGAACCUAAGUAUGAUUAGCUAGUUGGUGGGGUAAAGGCCUACCAAGGCGACGAUCUGUAGCGGGUCUGAGAGGAUUAUCCGCCACACUGGGAAUGAGACACGGCGCAGACUCCUACGGGAGGCAGCAGUGGGGAAUAUUGGACAAUGGGGGGAACCCUGAUCCAGCCAUGCCGCGUGUGUGAAGAAGGCCUUAUGGUUGUAAAGCACUUUAAGCGAGGAGGAGGCUACUCUAGUUAAUACCUAGGGAUAGUGGACGUUACUCGCAGAAUAAGCACCGGCUAACUCUGUGCCAGCCGCCGCUGUAA
This 501-nucleotide ribosomal RNA is filed under the name uncultured bacterium. RNAcentral's name for it is "partial 16S ribosomal RNA". It matches the Rfam family "Bacterial small subunit ribosomal RNA", at positions 30 to 523 of the family's 1533-position model. The record is from RNAcentral.